AAUUUCUUAUUUUAAUUUUUAAAAUAUUAUUUUUACAAGAUAAAGAUUAGGAAAUUU
This 57-nucleotide transfer RNA is filed under the name Bursaphelenchus xylophilus (pine wood nematode). RNAcentral's name for it is "tRNA-Val". The record is from RNAcentral. Lineage: Eukaryota; Metazoa; Nematoda; Chromadorea; Rhabditida; Aphelenchoididae.